RNAcentral lists this ribosomal RNA (497 nucleotides) under uncultured bacterium. Its description in RNAcentral is "partial 16S ribosomal RNA". It matches the Rfam family "Bacterial small subunit ribosomal RNA", at positions 28 to 507 of the family's 1533-position model. The record is from RNAcentral.
GAUGAACGCUGGCGGCGUGCCUAAUACAUGCAAGUCGAACGAACCUACUUUAUGCUUGCUUCUUUGCAGUUAGCGGUGGACGGUUGAGUGACGCGCGGGUCACCAACCCCUAAGCCAGGGAUAACUACGAGAGGCCGGACCCAUUGCCGCAGGUUCUAUUGCCCCAUAUGCUUCGAUACUGCAUGACAGUUUUGCUAUAACUUGUUGUUGUAUCCGCUGCGCAUUGGCGAGUUGGUAGGGUACAGGCUUACCAAGGCAACGAUGCGUAGCCGACCUGAGAGGGUGAUCGGCCACACUGGAACUGAGACACGGCCCAGACUCCUACGGGAGGCAGCAGUAGGGAAUCUUCCGCAAUGGGCGAAAGCCUGAUGGAGCAACGCCGCGUGAGUGAUGAAGGUCUUCGGAUCGUAAAACUCUGUUAUUAGGGAAGAACAUGCGUGUAAGUAACUGUGCACGUCUCGACGGUACCUAAUCAGAAAGCCACGGCUAACUACGUG